RNAcentral lists this ribosomal RNA (253 nucleotides) under uncultured bacterium. RNAcentral's name for it is "partial 16S ribosomal RNA". It matches the Rfam family "Bacterial small subunit ribosomal RNA", at positions 524 to 776 of the family's 1533-position model. The record is from RNAcentral.
UACGUAGGGUGCAAGCGUUGUCCGGAAUUAUUGGGCGUAAAGAGCUCGUAGGCGGUCUGUCGCGUCGGCUGUGAAAACUCGGGGCUCAACUCCGAGCUUGCAGUCGAUACGGGCAGGCUAGAGUUCGGCAGGGGAGACUGGAAUUCCUGGUGUAGCGGUGAAAUGCGCAGAUAUCAGGAGGAACACCUGCGGUGUAGACGGCUUUCUGGACCAUUGCUGACGCUGAGACACGAAAGCGUGGGUAGCAAACAGG